This 199-nucleotide ribosomal RNA is filed under the name uncultured bacterium. RNAcentral's name for it is "partial 16S ribosomal RNA". It matches the Rfam family "Bacterial small subunit ribosomal RNA", at positions 328 to 539 of the family's 1533-position model. The record is from RNAcentral.
ACGCUCGACACCUACGGGGGCAGCAGUCGGGAAUAUUGCGCAAUGGAGGAAACUCUGACGCAGUGACGCCGCGUGCAGGAAGAAGGUUUUCGGAUUGUAAACUGCUUUAGACAGGGAAGAACAAAUGACAGUACCUGUAGAAUAAGCUCCGGCUAACUACGUGCCAACAGCCGCGGUAAUCUGAGCGGGCUGGCAAGGC